Molecule: ribosomal RNA, 460 nt
Filed under: uncultured bacterium
Lineage: Bacteria
Description: partial 16S ribosomal RNA
Rfam family: Bacterial small subunit ribosomal RNA
Source: RNAcentral
CCUACGGGAGGCUGCAGUGAGGAAUAUUGGUCAAUGGGCUUACGCCUGAACCAGCCAAGUCGCGUGAGGGAAGACUGCCCAACGUGUUGUAAACCUCUUUUGUCAGGGAGCAACGCCGGCGACGUGUCCCCGGACGGGGAGUACCGGAAGAAAAGGCAUCGCCUAACUCCGUGCCACCAGCCGCGGUAAUACGGGGGAGGCGAGCGUUAUCCGGAUUUAUUGGGUUUAAAGGGUGCGUAGGCGGAAUGUCAAGUCAGCGGUAAAGUCGCGGGGCUCAACCUCGCGCAGCCGUUGAAACUGGCGUGCUUGAGUUGGAGAGAAGUACGCGGAAUGCGCGGUGUAGCGGUGAAAUGCAUAGAUAUCACGCAGAACCCCGAUUGCGAAGGCAGCAUACCGGCGCCACACUGACGCUGAGGCACGAAAGCGUGGGUAUCGAACAGGAUUAGAUACCCGUGUAGUC